GGGCGUUUAGCUCAGUUGGUUCAGAGCACCUGCCUUACAAGCAGGGGGUCGCUAGUUCGAAUCUAGCAACGCCCA
This 75-nucleotide transfer RNA is filed under the name Bacteroidales bacterium. Its description in RNAcentral is "tRNA-Val". It matches the Rfam family "tRNA". Rfam says of the family: Transfer RNA (tRNA) molecules are approximately 80 nucleotides in length. Their secondary structure includes four short double-helical elements and three loops (D, anti-codon, and T loops). Lineage: Bacteria; Pseudomonadati; Bacteroidota; Bacteroidia; Bacteroidales. The record is from RNAcentral.